GGGAGAUUAGCUCAGUCGGUUUCAGAGCACCUGCCUUACAAGCAGGGGGUCACUGGUUCGAGUCCAGUAUCUCCCA
This 76-nucleotide transfer RNA is filed under the name Saprospiraceae bacterium. Its description in RNAcentral is "tRNA-Val". It matches the Rfam family "tRNA". Rfam says of the family: Transfer RNA (tRNA) molecules are approximately 80 nucleotides in length. Their secondary structure includes four short double-helical elements and three loops (D, anti-codon, and T loops). Lineage: Bacteria; Pseudomonadati; Bacteroidota; Saprospiria; Saprospirales; Saprospiraceae. The record is from RNAcentral.